This 253-nucleotide ribosomal RNA is filed under the name uncultured bacterium. Its description in RNAcentral is "partial 16S ribosomal RNA". It matches the Rfam family "Bacterial small subunit ribosomal RNA", at positions 524 to 776 of the family's 1533-position model. The record is from RNAcentral.
UACGUAGGGUGCGAGCGUUAAUCGGAAUUACUGGGCGUAAAGCGUGCGCAGGCGGUUUUGUAAGCCAGAUGUGAAAUCCCCGGGCUUAACCUGGGAAUGGCAUUUGGGACUGCAAGGCUCGAGUGCGGCAGAGGAGACUGGAAUUCCUGGUGUAGCAGUGAAAUGCGUAGAGAUGUGGAGGAACACCGAUGGCGAAGGCAGCCCCCUGGGCUAACACUGACGCUCAUGCACGAAAGCGUGGGGAGCAAACAGG